GACAGAGGGUGCAAACGUUGCUCGGAAUUACUGGGCGUAAAGCGCGUGUAGGUGGCUCCAUAAGUCAGGUGUGAAAGCCCAGGGCUCAACCCUGGAAGUGCACUUGAUACUGCGGAGCUUGAGUGCUGAAGAGGAGAGCGGAAUUCCCGGUGUAGAGGUGAAAUUCGUAGAUAUCGGGAGGAACACCAGUGGCGAAGGCGGCUCUCUGGGCAGUAACUGACACUGAGACGCGAAAGCGUGGGUAGCAAACAGG
This 253-nucleotide ribosomal RNA is filed under the name uncultured bacterium. RNAcentral describes it as "partial 16S ribosomal RNA". It matches the Rfam family "Bacterial small subunit ribosomal RNA", at positions 524 to 776 of the family's 1533-position model. The record is from RNAcentral.